AUCUGAACCGCGAUAAAUUAAAGCGCCACCGGCCUCCCCACCCCACCUCUCGCACGCUUCUCCCUCCUGUCACCUCCCUCUGGCACGCUCUCUCUCUCUCUGUGAAGUGCGUGCGUGAGUCGUCGCAGACAAAUAGAGAGUAGCUAGAGGAGGCCGGCAAGGCGGCAAGGAAUCGAAGAGCUAGCAUGGCAGAGAAGGUGGUGUGCGUGACGGGCGCCGGCGGCUUCAUCGCGUCGUGGAUCGUGAAGCUCCUGCUCGAGCGCGGCUACACCGUCCGCGGCACCCUCCGCGACCCAGGUUGGUGUGUUGCUGCUACUGUCUGCUGCUCCACCCCUUCAGGUCCCUCCUAGCAUUCUGCUCGUUUAGCUGGGAAAAAAAACGGCAUCGAAUGAUUGGUCGUUGAAAUGCGCCAGGAAUUGAAACAGUGAAGUAGAACUAGUCCUAGGCUGUGUUUAGUUAGGGGUGAAAAAAUUUUGAUGGAAAUUUUUUACAACUUUAACCACUAAUUAAAAAUAUUAAAUUAAGUUUAAUUAUAAAAGCAUCUCCACAACCAUGAGUACUAUAGUAAUUUUGUACCUAACGAGGUCUUUAACCGCAUGAUUUGAUGAUGAUUAGAGUAUGAUCACUGUAGCAUUAUUGUAUCUAAUCAUGUAUUAAUUAGACUCAUUAGAUUCGGCUCGCAUAAUUACAUCUAUCUCUAAAAUUUUUUUACAAAUAAAUUACAUUUAAUACUCCAUGCAUAUAAAAUUACUUUUUCGCGAAAUUUUUAUUGUUACAACUAAGCGCGGCCCUAAUCUAAUUUGUUUGGUUCGAGGAUCUGUUUCGACUUUAAUUUUCCGGGCAGAGCGGCGAUGAUUCCAAUGGGGGUGCGGUGGGUUGGUGGUGCCCGGAAAACUCUGCCGGCGGCCACGUGUGGGGCACUGGUGGCGGAGAAACUCCGCUCGUGGCGCCCGUUCACCACCCCACCCCCGCGCUUUAUUGCUUGCAGAUCGGUGUCCCCCCUUCUAGGAUCGAAGUAGGUGGUUGGCUGUUGGCUGGUUUGGAGAUUCAAUCGAACAAGCAGCUUGCAUGUUCGUAAUUGCCAUGGCGAGUUCGAUCCUGACGCUAUGGCAAGGUGGUGGGCGGUGGCCCACCUACGCGUCGGCAUCACAGCUCCUACGGACGAUCCGACGAUGGCGUCAGAUGGCGGGGCUCGGCACGGGUGCGGUUACCGGAACGAGAUCCGGUGCAGUUGAGUGCCCUGCUGUGGUGUCCCUGACACGUGGGCCCCACAUAUGCAGGCCCACCUGUCAGUGGCCCAACUGCAGACUGCCGAACUGCUGCAAAUCCCUUUCCGCGGUUACCUCUCCGCGGUUACCGGUGCCGCCGAGCUGUGGGAGAGCCUCAGCGCGGCCACGCCAGGCAGCAAUUUGUGCUCAGACCGUCAGGCGCAGAGCUACCACGGGAGCGAAGCUGGGAUAUGAUGGGACCCACAGAACGCGUGUGAAAGAAACCAGGCCUCGCCCCCAAUGCGUCCCUCUCGUUUCUUCAUGCGUCGGAGUUCGGCCUGGACACUGUUUUAGAACAACUUUGAUUUUCUCUUUUUCUUUUUCCACUUUUUCUCAAUACAUGGGAUUGAUGUUGAAAAAAUUUACUUUAACAGAUUGAUUUUCCAUAUCUCUUUCCCCUUUAUUUUUUCUCAAUCCCAAUAGAAAGGGGAGUCAUCGCAUCUCCCUUUCCAUAUAAAAAGGGAGAAAAAUCAAUCUGCUGGAGCACUUCUUCAAUAUAUAUUGAAAUUGAGAAAGAAGAUUUCUCUAUAUGGUGAGAAAGAGAAAAGAGGAAGAUCAAUCUGUUGGAGUUGCUCUUAGAAAUGAUGUCUAUCUUUUUUCUCACAUUCCUCGUUAAUUCUAUUGCCAAUUCAACUUUUACUUUAUAUGACACCCUAUUAAAUUCUAUUCUAUGGACACCAACUAAGGCAAAGGGUUGGAACUGCCCUAAUAACUGUACUGCCCAUAAAACUCUCCCUCCUCUCUCAUCAUAGAUGACUCUAUCAUGUUAGUAAAUUUGCUGAUAUUGCAUGAUAUUUAAUGUUCCUGACACUCCUAUAACACUUCAUUGAGAUUGGCCUAACCCAAAUUUGUUUUACUAGUAGUUUAGAUAAAUCUUGUGUUUCAAUGUCAACGAAGAAGCAACAUUAGGGUCUGUCACCAAACUAGAGGACUUUUGGUUCAAAAAAAAAAAAAAAACUAGAGGACUUUUAUGGCACACGAUACUACCAUACAAGAAAUUGUUUCUGGGAAAUUAUUUCUCAUAACUGAAACAUAUAUCUCUGCAUUACAAAAUAUGCAUUAUCAAACUGAUAGUGGAGUCAAAUAGCUAGCUUUGUAUAACCAUAAGUUUAUACCUUACAAAAUAUAAGCUUCUAAUAGAAGCAAGCAAGAAAAUCAAUCUGUUAGAAGCAAGGUCGCUCACCAAGUCUCCCAGCCGAAGGACUCAAUCUGGAAUUCUGGACGAAUCCUCCGCUUCACUAACGUUGACCUGGAAGGGGCCACCCCAAUUAAAAUGAGAAGAGAAAAUGGCAAAGACCAGCAUCUCUAGUGGAGCGCUGACACCGAGCAUCUAGGGUUUGGGAAGGAGAGGAAGGAAAACCAUACCUCACGGCGGUGGCGUGAUGCAACAGGAUUUAGGAGGGCCCGAGGGAUUAGGUGGCCUCGACACGGCGAACUGAGGCGGCGGGGCCUAGGACAGGGAUGACGACGACACAACCGGCGGAGGCAGGGCUGAGUGGUUCGACACUGACCUGCAGCAAGGUGGAGUGAGCCCAACGUACUCGUCCUUCCUCUUCUCCUCGGCGGCGGCCGAGCACCGAAGACUCCAUGGCGGCCGCGGCCAGUCCAGACCUCCAGGGGCCAUGGCAACAGCAGCGGCAGCAGCGGCGCCCUCCCACACGGGUGUAGCCGCAGCCGGUGCCACACAGGGAGCGGUGACGGCUUCGGAGGCCAUCCCGUGGAGCAGUGGCUGGCGGCGGGAGGCGGCAGAGGCAGGUGCCCACGGCAGGCGGAGGCGGGGAGAGGAGGCGUCGCGUGGGGUUGGGGAGGCGGAGCGGAGCGUGGGGAAUGGGGA
This is an RNA transcript of Panicum virgatum (switchgrass), 3102 nucleotides long. It is a transcript of the gene named phenylacetaldehyde reductase-like, with no coding region annotated. The transcript is spliced from 2 exons. NCBI's taxonomy places the organism in Eukaryota, Viridiplantae, Streptophyta, Magnoliopsida, Poales, Poaceae. The record is from RefSeq and is a predicted model, not a curated record.